CCUACGGGUGGCAGCAGUGGGGAACAUUGCACAAUGGGGGAAACCCUGAUGCAGCGACGCCGCGUGAGUGAAGAAGUAUUUCGGUAUGUAAAGCUCUAUCAGCAGGAACGAGACAAGACGGUACCUGACUAAGAAGCCCCGGCUAACUACGUGCCAGCAGCCGCGGUAAUACGUAGGGGGCAAGCGUUAUCCGGAUUUACUGGGUGGAAAGGGAGCGCAGACGGCUGUGCAAGUCUGGAGUGAAAGGCGGGGGCCCAACCCCCGGACUGCUCUGGAAACUGUAAAGCUGGAGUGCAGGAGAGGUAAGCGGAAUUCCUAGUGUAGCGGUGAAAUGCGUAGAUAUUAGGAGGAACACCAGUGGCGAAGGCGGCUUACUGGACUGCAACUGACGUUGAGGCUCGAAAGCGUGGGGAGCAAACAGGAUUAGAUACCCUAGUAGUC
Molecule: ribosomal RNA, 441 nt
Filed under: uncultured bacterium
Lineage: Bacteria
Description: partial 16S ribosomal RNA
Rfam family: Bacterial small subunit ribosomal RNA
Source: RNAcentral